GGCUGGUCUGAGUGCAGUGGUGCUUACAACUAAUUGAUCACAAUUCAUUACAGAUUACUUUAUUCCUAUCCACUCCCAUUGCUUCACUUGACUAGCCUUUA
Molecule: Y RNA, 101 nt
Organism: Pongo abelii (Sumatran orangutan)
Lineage: Eukaryota; Metazoa; Chordata; Mammalia; Primates; Hominidae
Rfam family: Y RNA
About the family: Y RNAs are components of the Ro ribonucleoprotein particle (Ro RNP), in association with Ro60 and La proteins. The Y RNAs and Ro60 and La proteins are well conserved, but the function of the Ro RNP is not known.
Source: Ensembl